AAUUAUCAUAUUAAGCUUGAUUAGAGUGGUCAUGAAGAAAGGCGAGCUACAGCAAGUACGUGCGACGGGCCAACCAGGGCUCUUUGAUGACUUUCCUUCUUUCUUUUCGCGGCAUCGGUGCUGGAGAUCGCACAGAUACUACGUCGUCCCGUUAAUCUCAGGUAAUUAAAAAAUAUCCCCAAAAAUAUCCUAAAAAAUGCAGUUGCCGUGACAAGAAAUAAUCAAGACACAAAUAUGUAAAAGAUGUUCAAUCAUUUUACUAGAAGUAAAAGAAAAUAUAUUAUUUUAGAUUACGAAAAAAGAAUCCGAUAUUACUACACCCAUGAAAAAAUUGGCAGGACACCGCCUUUUAUUUUACAUAAACUGGUAAAAUAUCAUAUGCAGUAGUCUUCUAUCAAGAGAAUUGAGAGAUUUAAAGUAAAGUUGUAUCCUAAUAAAAUGUAGUUGCAGUGACAAGCAAUAAUCAAGACACAAAUAUGUAAAAGGUGUUCAAUCAAUGUACUGGAAAAGAGAGCGUAUGAUUUUUCACUACGUUAAGAAGAAUCCAACAACACUUUAAUCAUGAAAGAUUUAAGAAGACACUGUUUAACGUGCUCCGUUCUCACACUGGAAGGAAACCAUGUACUAUAAUAUUAUAUCAAAUUAAUUCAA
RNAcentral lists this long non-coding RNA (651 nucleotides) under Polistes fuscatus (common paper wasp). RNAcentral describes it as "uncharacterized LOC122517476, transcript variant X1". The record is from RNAcentral. Lineage: Eukaryota; Metazoa; Arthropoda; Insecta; Hymenoptera; Vespidae.